GGCUGCGUAGUAAGCACAAAGCGAACUAUUCUUUCGCCUUUUACUAAAGAAUACCGUGUGUUUGCUGCAUUGAGCAGCAUACACUUAUUUUUGGAGAGGUUCUUCCCCCUUUUGUGGAGGAC
This is a small nuclear RNA of Andrographis paniculata, 122 nucleotides long. RefSeq annotates it as U5 spliceosomal RNA. NCBI's taxonomy places the organism in Eukaryota, Viridiplantae, Streptophyta, Magnoliopsida, Lamiales, Acanthaceae. The record is from RefSeq and is a predicted model, not a curated record. The transcript has a single exon.